This 468-nucleotide ribosomal RNA is filed under the name uncultured bacterium. RNAcentral describes it as "partial 16S ribosomal RNA". It matches the Rfam family "Bacterial small subunit ribosomal RNA", at positions 28 to 507 of the family's 1533-position model. The record is from RNAcentral.
GACGAACGCUGGCGGCGUGCUUAACACAUGCAAGUCGAACGGAAAGGCCCUGCUUUUGUUGGGUACUCGAGUGGCGAACGGGUGAGUAACACGUGAGUAACCUUCCCUUGACUUUGGGAUAACUUCAGGAAACUGGGGCUAAUACCGGAUAGGAGCUCCUGCUGCAUGGUGGGGGUUGGAAAGUUUCGGCGGUUGGGGAUGGACUCGCGGCUUAUCAGCUUGUUGGUGGGGUAGUGGCUUUCCAAGGCAUUGACGGGUAGCCGGCCUGAGAGGGUGACCGGCCACAUUGGGACUGAGAUACCGCCCAGACUCCUACGGGAGGCAGCAGUGGGGAAUAUUGCAAAAUGGGCGGAAGCCGGAUGGAGGAACGCCGCGUGCUGGAUGACGGCUUUCGGGUUGGAACCCGUUUUAGCCUGUGACGAAGAGUGAGUGACGGUAAUGGGUAAAGAAGCACCGGCUAACUACGUG